UACGUAGGGUGCGAGCGUUGCCCGGAUUUAUUGGGCGUAAAGGGCGCGUAGGCGGCUCGGCACGUCCGUUGUGAAAUCGCCCGGCUCAACUGGGCGGGGUCAGCGGAUACGGUCGAGCUUGAGCAAGCUAGGGGGGCAAUGGAAUUCCCGGUGUAGUGGUGGAAUGCGUAGAUAUCAGGAGGAACACCGAUGGCGAAGGCAGGUCUCUGGGCCAUUACUGACACUGAGAAGCGAAAGCAUGGGGAGCGAACAGG
RNAcentral lists this ribosomal RNA (254 nucleotides) under uncultured bacterium. RNAcentral's name for it is "partial 16S ribosomal RNA". It matches the Rfam family "Bacterial small subunit ribosomal RNA", at positions 524 to 776 of the family's 1533-position model. The record is from RNAcentral.